RNAcentral lists this ribosomal RNA (1411 nucleotides) under Vibrio parahaemolyticus. RNAcentral describes it as "bacterial SSU rRNA". It matches the Rfam family "Bacterial small subunit ribosomal RNA". Lineage: Bacteria; Pseudomonadati; Pseudomonadota; Gammaproteobacteria; Vibrionales; Vibrionaceae. The record is from RNAcentral.
AUUGAACGCUGGCGGCAGGCCUAACACAUGCAAGUCGAGCGGAAACGAGUUAUCAGAACCUUCGGGGAACGAUAACGGCGUCGAGCGGCGGACGGGUGAGUAAUGCCUAGGAAAUUGCCCUGAUGUGGGGGAUAACCAUUGGAAACGAUGGCUAAUACCGCAUGAUGCCUACGGGCCAAAGAGGGGGACCUUCGGGCCUCUCGCGUCAGGAUAUGCCUAGGUGGGAUUAGCUAGUUGGUGAGGUAAGGGCUCACCAAGGCGACGAUCCCUAGCUGGUCUGAGAGGAUGAUCAGCCACACUGGAACUGAGACACGGUCCAGACUCCUACGGGAGGCAGCAGUGGGGAAUAUUGCACAAUGGGCGCAAGCCUGAUGCAGCCAUGCCGCGUGUGUGAAGAAGGCCUUCGGGUUGUAAAGCACUUUCAGUCGUGAGGAAGGUAGUGUAGUUAAUAGCUGCAUUAUUUGACGUUAGCGACAGAAGAAGCACCGGCUAACUCCGUGCCAGCAGCCGCGGUAAUACGGAGGGUGCGAGCGUUAAUCGGAAUUACUGGGCGUAAAGCGCAUGCAGGUGGUUUGUUAAGUCAGAUGUGAAAGCCCGGGGCUCAACCUCGGAAUUGCAUUUGAAACUGGCAGACUAGAGUACUGUAGAGGGGGGUAGAAUUUCAGGUGUAGCGGUGAAAUGCGUAGAGAUCUGAAGGAAUACCGGUGGCGAAGGCGGCCCCCUGGACAGAUACUGACACUCAGAUGCGAAAGCGUGGGGAGCAAACAGGAUUAGAUACCCUGGUAGUCCACGCCGUAAACGAUGUCUACUUGGAGGUUGUGGCCUUGAGCCGUGGCUUUCGGAGCUAACGCGUUAAGUAGACCGCCUGGGGAGUACGGUCGCAAGAUUAAAACUCAAAUGAAUUGACGGGGGCCCGCACAAGCGGUGGAGCAUGUGGUUUAAUUCGAUGCAACGCGAAGAACCUUACCUACUCUUGACAUCCAGAGAACUUUCCAGAGAUGGAUUGGUGCCUUCGGGAACUCUGAGACAGGUGCUGCAUGGCUGUCGUCAGCUCGUGUUGUGAAAUGUUGGGUUAAGUCCCGCAACGAGCGCAACCCUUAUCCUUGUUUGCCAGCGAGUAAUGUCGGGAACUCCAGGGAGACUGCCGGUGAUAAACCGGAGGAAGGUGGGGACGACGUCAAGUCAUCAUGGCCCUUACGAGUAGGGCUACACACGUGCUACAAUGGCGCAUACAGAGGGCAGCCAACUUGCGAAAGUGAGCGAAUCCCAAAAAGUGCGUCGUAGUCCGGAUUGGAGUCUGCAACUCGACUCCAUGAAGUCGGAAUCGCUAGUAAUCGUGGAUCAGAAUGCCACGGUGAAUACGUUCCCGGGCCUUGUACACACCGCCCGUCACACCAUGGGAGUGGGCUGC